AUCAAUAGUAACAAAGCAAGACACGCAGGUCUAGGUAUGUAAGUAAAACAAUACAAACCGAGCAUAAGUAUGUUAUAACUAAGUUGUCGCUAUCAAAUUGGUCGCGAUAGAGAUUAUACUUAUCAAUAGGGUAACUAGACCCAUCCGUCCGUUAGUUUAGUUUCAGCAGGGUAUUAUAAAUAAACAUGGGUAACCUUAUAU
Non-coding RNA from Pelobates cultripes (western spadefoot toad), 201 nucleotides. The record is from the annotation of a GenBank genome assembly. Lineage: Eukaryota; Metazoa; Chordata; Amphibia; Anura; Pelobatidae.